CAUUACUGAAAGACAUAGAGGUCUUGAGACUGCGUCUUCACCGGCGCGUGCUCGACUCUUACUCUUUAAUCCACACACACCUUUGUGCACCAUGGGACGGAAGUCCCCAUUUUACAUAAACACCUAGUUAUAUGCAUGUUUUUAUAUACUCUAUGGAGUAAUGUACAACUUUCAACAACGGAUCUCUUGGCUUUCGCAUCGAUGAAGAACGCAGCGAACGUGCGAAACGUAAUGUGAAUUGCAGAAUUCAGUGAAUCAUCGAAUCUUUGAACGCAUCUUGCGCUCCUUGGUAUUCCGAGGAGCAUGCCUGUUUGAGUGUCGUGUAGUACUCUUCAUUUCCAUCUUUUUUUUUGGUUUGAAAUUGGAUUUGGGUGUUGUUGUGGAUCACAACUCGUCCUAAAUGCAUUAGCGAUCUGCCAUUGAUCACAUGCAAUGUGAUAAGAAAAAGCAUUGUUGAGAUUGAUUUGAGAUUGCUUCUAACUGUCGAAAGACAAUUAACUAUGUGUCAUUUGACCUCAGAUCAGGUAGGACUACCCGCUGAACUUAAGCAUAUCAAUA
This 558-nucleotide ribosomal RNA is filed under the name Geastrum aff. morganii MA-Fungi 83773. Its description in RNAcentral is "eukaryotic LSU rRNA". The stretch from base 167 to 321 matches the Rfam family "5.8S ribosomal RNA". Lineage: Eukaryota; Fungi; Basidiomycota; Agaricomycetes; Geastrales; Geastraceae. The record is from RNAcentral.